UGGGGAAUUUUGGACAAUGGGCGCAAGCCUGAUCCAGCCAUGCCGCGUGCGGGAAGAAGGCCUUCGGGUUGUAAACCGCUUUUGUCAGGGAAGAAAUCUUCUGAGUUAAUACCUCGGGAGGAUGACGGUACCUGAAGAAUAAGCACCGGCUAACUACGUGCCAGCAGCCGCGGUAAUACGUAGGGUGCAAGCGUUAAUCGGAAUUACUGGGCGUAAAGCGUGCGCAGGCGGUUUUGUAAGACAGAGGUGAAAUCCCCGGGCUCAACCUGGGAACUGCCUUUGUGACUGCAAGGCUUGAGUGCGGCAGAGGGGGAUGGAAUUCCGCGUGUAGCAGUGAAAUGCGUAGAUAUGCGGAGGAACACCGAUGGCGAAGGCAAUCCCCUGGGCCUGCACUGACGCUCAUGCACGAAAGCGUGGGGAGCAAAACAGGAUUAGAUACUCUGGUAGUCCACGCCCUAAACGAUGUCAACUGGUUGUUGGGAAGGUUCCUUCUCAGUAACGUAGCUAACGCGUGAAGUUGACCGCCUGGGGAGUACGGCCGCAAGGUUGAAACUC
RNAcentral lists this ribosomal RNA (555 nucleotides) under uncultured bacterium. Its description in RNAcentral is "partial 16S ribosomal RNA". It matches the Rfam family "Bacterial small subunit ribosomal RNA", at positions 355 to 902 of the family's 1533-position model. The record is from RNAcentral.